AAAUUGAAGAGUUUGAUCAUGGCUCAGAUUGAACGCUGGCGGCAGGCCUAACACAUGCAAGUCGAGCGGAAACGAGUUGUCUGAACCUUCGGGGGACGAUAACGGCGUCGAGCGGCGGACGGGUGAGUAAUGCCUAGGAAAUUGCCCUGAUGUGGGGGAUAACCAUUGGAAACGAUGGCUAAUACCGCAUGAUGCCUACGGGCCAAAGAGGGGGACCUUCGGGCCUCUC
This 229-nucleotide ribosomal RNA is filed under the name Vibrio parahaemolyticus. RNAcentral describes it as "partial 16S ribosomal RNA". It matches the Rfam family "Bacterial small subunit ribosomal RNA", at positions 1 to 218 of the family's 1533-position model. Lineage: Bacteria; Pseudomonadati; Pseudomonadota; Gammaproteobacteria; Vibrionales; Vibrionaceae. The record is from RNAcentral.